RNAcentral lists this ribosomal RNA (91 nucleotides) under Pneumocystis carinii. Its description in RNAcentral is "partial 16S ribosomal RNA". It matches the Rfam family "Eukaryotic small subunit ribosomal RNA", at positions 1742 to 1831 of the family's 1831-position model. The record is from RNAcentral. Lineage: Eukaryota; Fungi; Ascomycota; Pneumocystomycetes; Pneumocystales; Pneumocystaceae.
UAUUACUGGAAAGUUGAUCAAAUUUGGUCAUUUAGAGGAAGUAAAAGUCGUAACAAGGUUUUCCGUAGGUGAACCUGCGGAAGGAUCAUUA